Molecule: transfer RNA, 76 nt
Filed under: Rhodospirillaceae bacterium
Lineage: Bacteria; Pseudomonadati; Pseudomonadota; Alphaproteobacteria; Rhodospirillales; Rhodospirillaceae
Also listed under: 1 other name
Description: tRNA-Thr
Rfam family: tRNA
About the family: Transfer RNA (tRNA) molecules are approximately 80 nucleotides in length. Their secondary structure includes four short double-helical elements and three loops (D, anti-codon, and T loops).
Source: RNAcentral
GCCGCUUUAGCUCAGUUGGUAGAGCGACGCAUUCGUAAUGCGUAGGUCGGGUGUUCAAAUCACCCAAGCGGCACCA